AUCAAAACGUCAGGGCGGCAGCGAGAUGGUGCAGCCAGGUCAUGCAGGUAGUGGUGCGCCCCCGCCACCCCGCGGGACCGUUAGUCCCACGCGCUGGCCACGUGCGCGACCCCGUGGUAGCGUUGGAGGCACCACACAGCAUUUUAGGAAGGCGGGCCAUCAAAGGGUCUUCAUGAGAGAAACGUGGCUGCCUCCCCUCGGGUGCCAAUCUGUGGUGGAGGCUGGCUCCCCGCAGAGAACGACCACAAUCCGCUGGGUCUUGCACGGCUGGACGCCGCCUGGGCAAGGCUUUAGUGACCGUCUUUCCCUUCGUGACCUUGGCCUCUGUGACAGGCAGGCCCGGCAGCUGUCCCGACGUCCCGGCCAGAUGGAGCCUGUUUUCCUUCCUCUAAACUUCAUCAUGUCAGGUUCGAAGCAAACUGCGGAGAAGCCCCACGAGAAGGCCUGGACAUCUCCCUACCCUGGCUCCAAGGUGGAGCGAAGCUCAGUUCUCGAUGAGAAAGUGAGCUGACUGGCUGAGUGGUGAGAGUACACGCCCGUGGAAUACACUGUCAGCUCUGUCUUGGCCGGGCCCGUGUGGGCAGACCCCCAGGUGGGUGAAAGGAACUUCUCUCCUAAGUUUAACGAAAAGGAUGGGCAUGUGGAGAGAAGGAGCCAGCAUGGCCUGUAUCAGAUUGAGAAGGGAAGACCCAGAAAUCCUGCAAGUCGGACAGCAUUGGUUGGCAAAGGGCUUUUGGGGCGUUGGGGCCCCAAUCAUGCUGCAGAUCCCAUCUUAACCAGGUGGAAAAGGGAUAGCAAGGGAAGUGAAAUUACCCACCCUAUUUCUGGGGAAAAUAUGGUGCAAUUUGUAGCCAUCAAAAGAAAGGACUGUGGAGAAUGGGCAAUCCCAGGGCGGAUGGUGGAUCCAGGACAGAAAAUUAGUACUACUUGAAGAGAGAAUUUGGUGAGGAAGCCAUGAACUCUCUACAGAAAUCUAGGGGAGAAGUGCAGGAGUAGGAGAGACAAUUUCACAAACUCUUCAGGAACAUUUUGUUAUCUGUAACGGCUAUGGGGACGAUCCUUGGAACACAGAUAACUCAUGGAUAGAGACAGAGGCUGUGAACUACCAUGAUGAAACUGGUGAAAUAAUGGGCCACCCUCCACUGGAAGCUGGCGAUGAUGCCAAGAAAGUGAAAUGAGUGGACAUGAAUGAUAAACUCGAGCUUUAUGCCAGCCACUCCCAAUUUAUUCAGCUUGUGGCUGAGACACAAGGUGCCCACUAGAGUGAAGACAUGUAUGCUGAUUGCCAGGGAUAGUGGCUUGGAGUAUCAUAUGAGCCAAAGGCCUUCAAAUGAUCAAGAGUGGAUAAGAGGCAAACAGCACAGAAGACAGAGGGACACCCCUUUGGUGAUUAUUUCCAAAACUGUGCUGUAUAAAGGCUUUGUAUCAGGGAAUAAUAUUAGACAAAUAUGGGGAAAUGGGAUCACAGAAUUUUUGGCUUUCCUGUUAGAAGAAGAAUAUACUCAUAUGCUGUAUAUAUUGUAUACAUGGGUUAAACUAAGUUGUACAAUUACUGCUCUUUGGAGAACUGUAGGAAAAACAAUGACAUCUUCCUUAAUAACCAUAGGCUCUACUUUUCAUCCCGUUUGUAUUUGUCAGUUCUUCCUCCUGAUGUUUUAAUGUGGCUUAAUCUAAUGUAUAAUCUGACUUUUGAGUUAACAUUUAUUUUUUAAAU
Cebus imitator (Panamanian white-faced capuchin) is the source of this 1714-nucleotide RNA transcript. It is a transcript of the gene named ADP-ribose pyrophosphatase, mitochondrial-like, with no coding region annotated. NCBI's taxonomy places the organism in Eukaryota, Metazoa, Chordata, Mammalia, Primates, Cebidae. The transcript has a single exon. The record is from RefSeq and is a predicted model, not a curated record.